RNAcentral lists this ribosomal RNA (490 nucleotides) under uncultured eukaryote. Its description in RNAcentral is "bacterial SSU rRNA". It matches the Rfam family "Eukaryotic small subunit ribosomal RNA", at positions 1306 to 1755 of the family's 1831-position model. The record is from RNAcentral.
CUGAUCUGUCAGCUUAAUUGCGUUAACGAACGAGACCUUUAAUUAUUAAUUAGUUAAAUAUAUUUUUUAUAUACUUUAUUUUCUUUUUCUUCAUUUGAGAAAGAAAACAUGACUUCUUAAAAUAACAAUUGGUGAUUAACCAAAGUAAGUUAAAGGCAAUAACAGGUCUGUGAUGCCCUUUAGAUGUUCUGGGCUGCACGCGCGUUACACUGAAAAUAUCAAUAAGUUUUUAUAUAUCCAAACAAUAAAAUCUUUUUUUCUUGUUUUGUAUAUGUCCUUGAUUGAAAAAUUUGGGUAAACUUGAUAACUAUUUUCGUGAUGGGGAUUGAUAAUUGUAAUAUUAUCAUGAACGAGGAAUACCUAGUAAACGCAAGUCAUUAACUUGCAUUGAUUACGUCCCUGCCCUUUGUACACACCGCCCGUCGCUCUACCGAUGAAAAGUCCGAUGAAAUAUUGGGAGAUCGUGGGCACCCAGUGCACAUAUCAAACA